AAGGUAUUAGUAAAGAAAUUACGCAACUUUGUCAAAGUUAACUCACAGGUUGAACCCCUGUAUAUCUUA
RNAcentral lists this transfer RNA (69 nucleotides) under Avahi laniger (woolly lemur). RNAcentral describes it as "tRNA-Asp". Lineage: Eukaryota; Metazoa; Chordata; Mammalia; Primates; Indriidae. The record is from RNAcentral. RNAcentral also lists the same sequence under 1 other name.